CGCUCAGCCUCAGGACCAUCAUCCAUCUUCUCAUAUGCUGCAUUCUUCCUGCCUUGAAAGGGGUGUCAAACUGGCGGUCCACAGGCCAGAUGCGUCACACGCAGGCCACGCCCACCCAUAUUUUGUGAAGAGGGAAUGCUUUAAAAUGUGAGCUUUUCAUGCUGUAAAAUCAGGCCUCAAACCAGAAGAUGUAACAUUUAUGAUACAGAAUCCAGGCUGAUGAAUAAGGGCCAGUCCAGAUGGCAGCAGUUUCUCCUAACAGUUGUAACAAGAAACCGGAAAUAGGGAAGGAAUUCCAAGGAGCAGAAGAGAGGAGGGGUAUUAACAACACUUUCAGUUGGACUAUAACUUGUUGCUAGAUAAGAGCUCUUAUGGCUGUGGAGCUGUUAAGAUGCAGAUAUUGUGCAGAAUUUGAUUUUUUUAGAUUCUGAAAUGAGCUGACCUGAUUAAUGGUUUCCAAAUGAAAAAUAGAAGAUGAUUUGUAAUUA
Long non-coding RNA from Pantherophis guttatus, 488 nucleotides. RefSeq lists it as uncharacterized. Lineage: Eukaryota; Metazoa; Chordata; Lepidosauria; Squamata; Colubridae. The record is from RefSeq and is a predicted model, not a curated record.